This 8630-nucleotide long non-coding RNA is filed under the name Zea mays. RNAcentral's name for it is "long non-coding RNA (ZMAY_LNC003051)". Lineage: Eukaryota; Viridiplantae; Streptophyta; Magnoliopsida; Poales; Poaceae. The record is from RNAcentral.
GACUUAGGAACAUCUACAGGGUGUCUGAUGUCUGUUAGACAAGGACAACUGUAGGUGGGCCUAAUUACUUGGGAGGUUCCGUCACAGCUGGUAUCGGAGCGUAGCCCUUCUUUGCAGAUAUUAUGAGGCAUCUUCAAAAGGAUUUUUAAAAGUCUUACCUAAAAACUCUUUUCUCUUCUUACCUAAGUAUUCUGAAGAGUCUAUCUUAAAGACCAGAUAGGAAGAGUGCAAUGUAUAGAAGGUUGAAUCGACUAAGGUUGAUUCUGUACUUACACACAUGCAUCAUGCUAAGAACUAUAUUAAUAAGUUUUCCCCCUUAGAAAAAUGCUGUCGCGCAUUAGAAAGACCGCGCGCAAAUCUACUAGACCCAUUGGCAUACCCUGCCAUUAACUUACCCCAAGACAUGAAGAAAGUAGCAGUGGUAGCAACGAUCCUAUCGGGAUCUGGAAGCACAAGUCGAACUGCUUCAAUCAGAACUCCGUCAUAAGAAUGAUCUAUGGGUCGCGGAUGCAGCCAUCCGCUACUUGCAAGACCAAUUCGCGAAACGAGAUCUAGCGCUCGAUUGGACGGUUAACUCUCGUCCACUCGCCUGGGCUAAGGAAGCCAAAUCUCGAGCCCGCACGGAGGAGCUUAGCUUAGCCAUGAAUAACUUGCAGGUCUGUUAUAAUACACUACAUGAAGAAGUUCAUGGGUUGUAUUUACAACUGCAUCCGAACGUCCCUGCGGAUCCUGUUGGGAUGGAAGCCGGACCUUCUUGUGUAGCGGGAGAAGCACUUGAUGGUGAACUGGACCUUUUCAAGCCCCCUCCCUCUAUGAAGUUGGUUGACGAAUGAUCUUCUACGCCCGACAGUAAAGCUACCAAAAGUAAAAAAAGUGGCUUACCAAGUGCCCGUAACAUUGGCCGGACGGAACUUUCCUACUAAUAUGAUCGUUCUGAAAGGCCAAGACAUAGAUGUCAUCUUGGGCAUAAACUGGUUAGUCCAGCAAAAAGCAAUUCUCAACCCUGAUCUGAGAACCAUCAGGUUGAGUUAUGGCUAAUAAAGAGUUGGUGACUUGAUUGCCUAAACCAAGAUUAGGCUAUAUUAGUAUUUGGUGAACCAUGACCAAAGUUGAUUUUUCCGUUACCCCUCCUUGACCCAAACUUAUACAAAUAAAGGCUUAGAUAAUUUCUUUGCUGAACCUAAAGUGUAAUCAGGCUUAAAAUAAGAAUCUUGAGUCAUAUUUCCAUCCUAGACCAUGCCCUUGUUCGAUUGGCACAAGCUAAUGUCCCUGAUCUAGUUUGCCUGUUCUUAAGAAUCGUCAUGUUGUUUUAUCAACCUAACCUAGGAAAGACAUGUCCACUCAUUUUCUUGAAUUUGAUGCCUUUGGUUUCCCCACAUCUAUCGAAGGCAUACCAAUUCAAUCUUGUGAUUGUUUUCCCUCUGUAUCUAAUCUGAUACUAAUCCUUGAUUUUGUAAUCUCUAUGAUGAGCAUAGAAAUAUGCUUGGGUCUGAAUUAACAGUCUCCCAUCAUACUCCUUUCAUCAAGUUUAGGUUAUGGCCAUGCCUUGUUCACUUCCUUGGGCCAUGAUCUAUUUGGAUCUCUACUUGUAACCAUUUUUACAGGUGGAGUCUCUUUUGUACCUAGUCAUCCUUGACCAGUCUAUUUGUGUUGUGUGAGAUUCCUUAUUGGUUAUGUCUGGUAUUGGCGUUAUGACUAAAAUUGAUGAUGCCGCGCCAUAACCGAGGGCCUCUUGUGGGUAUACACACAAGGUUGUGCUGCUCGAUGCACGCUUGUAUCACAGUUAGUAGUCAUAAUCCAUUAUGAGAUUAUAUCAAUAUGUUAUCUCUACGCAAAUCGUUCUUACCACGUGAGAUCCAUUAUUGGUGCCAGUUUUCUAAUGGUGUCAUGGUUAAGAACUUAUGGUACUGCAGCGAAACUGAGAACCUCCUGUAAAUGUGCACACAGGAUUCUACUGCUUGGCGCAUGUCGGUAUCAAGGUCUCUAGUCAUGAUCCAUUAUGGAACUACACUGAUGUGUGAUCUUUCAUGGACACCUCAUCCUUGAAACAAUUUCUAUGUUGUUUGUCAAAUGGCCAAGCAACAUCUAUCAUCUUUGUUGGAUCAAAAGGGGCAUACCACUUUUAGGCAUGGUCUCUUUCCUUUUGAUCUUGGUAGUGACUACUUAUAGAAGUUCCCUUUACAUCCUUUGUGUAAAGGUGAAGUCUUGGAGCUUUUUAGUGUUGGACAACAACUGAUUAGCUAAAAUGGAGAUUUGUUUUCUCUGCUGCUGAAAUGCAGGAGUUUGUUCAUUCGCUCUCUUAUUUAAUCCAUGUAUUCCCUAACCAAGUGGAUAAUUCAUCUCGCAUGGGAAAAAUGGAUGAACGACCUGACCAAAUGGAUUUCUACCCAAAUGCAUGACCUUUUGCUUGCAAAUGUGAACUCUCAACCCUUGGCUUACCAAUGGUAUUGAGAGGAUCUGCUUAAUGUCAAAAGUAGUUCAACAAGUUGGUUUUGACUAACUUGUAAUUGCCCAAUGAACGAAGGCUGAGUUUAGAGAUCGUUUUAUCGAGUUGUCUAAACUCACUUUGGUUCAACCCACCCUAAAGAAAGUGCUUACCAAAAUCAAAUUAAGUCGACCAGUAACCACUUAAUUAUCGCUCUAGUCGUACCUCGACUGCCUCACGCGUGUUUUUCCUGCGUGUGUGAUCAUGCCGAUUCACGACUAAUGCUGGAUAAAAUGGACUGGUUGUAUAGUCCAGACCCCUCCACUGGUGAUUCUCUCGAAUCUAUACCAUCUUUCGUGGACUUGAAUUCUUGGGUUAGCCAUAUGUUAACCGCGACAGUAUUCGACAUCCACACACGUCCCCUGUGCUAUGAAAUUUCCUGUAACCACUUGUUGGUAAACCUCUUUCUGUGUGUUUUACCCAAGAUGGUGCAUCUAAUUCUAUUUGGGUAAAGUGCGUAAUUGCCGCUCGCCCAAUAGACUCAGAUAGUACAGUGUCAACAGAAGAAGCAAAUUGCACAUAUGGAACCUUAUGUGUUCUUCUGGUGGGUAAAGAUGCAAAUUGAAAUUGCACACUAUGUGGCUAGAUGUGACACUUGUAAACGUGUCAAGGCCAUAUACAUGAAGACUGCUGGUCCAUUACAAUCUUUACCUAUCCCAGUAUGGAAAUGGGAAGAUAUUAGUAUGGACUUCAUUGUGGGAUUACCCAGGACUACAAAAGGGUAUGACUCUAUCUGGGUUAUUGUUGAUCGGUUUACGAAAAUUGCUCAUUUUCUGCCAGUCAAGACAUAUCACCCGGUUACUAUCUAUGCCCAAUUAUAUAUUGCUCAUAUUCUUAGUCUGCAUGGUGUUCCAAAGAUUAUAGUGUCGGAUCGUGGACCUCAAUUCGUAUCCAAAUUCUGGGAAGAACUUCAUAAAUCCCUGGGUACUAAACUGCUCCAUAGUUCGGCCUAUCAUCCUCAAACCAGUGGACAGACUGAGAGAGUAAAUCAGAUACUUGAAGAUAUGCUGCGGGCAUGUGCUCUGGACUUCUCACAGAAGUGGGAUGAAUGUUUGCCCUUAGCGGAAUUUUCAUAUAAUAAUAGCUAUCAAGAAAGUAUCAAGAUGGCACCCUUCGAAGCUUUAUAUGGACGACGAUGUCGUACUCCGCUAAAUUGGUCUGAAUCUGGUGAAAGGGACUCCUUCAGGCCUGACAGGGUAAAAGAAACUGAAGACAAAGUUCAGAAAAUGAUUUAUAAUUUGAAGAAAGCUCAGACUCGUCAAAAGAGUUAUGCAGACAAACGGCGAAUGCCCUUAUGUUUCCUUGAAGGAGACUAUGUCUACCUAAAGGUUUCACCCAUGAAGGGUGUAUCGCGUUUCGGGGUUAAAGGGAAACUUGCACCCAGGUACAUUGGUCCAUUCCUGGUGCUUGAGCAAUGUGGACCAGUGGCAUACCGACUCCAACUACCCGAAACAUUGUCUGCUGUGCAUAAUGUGUUCCACGUGUCACAAUUGAAGAAGUAUCUUCGGGUUCCUGAUCGAACCGUUGAAGUGACAGAUGUUGUCCUUAAACCAGACUUGACAUACUCUGAGCACCCUAUUCGAGUCUUGGAUCAAAAGGACAGGGUUACCCAGAGAAAAACUCUCAAGUUUUAUAAGAUACAGUGGAACCAGCAUUCUGAAGAUGAGGCUACAUGGGAAACUCAAGACUUUUUAGAUAAGAAUUUCCCAGGCUUUUUAGCCUCAUGUAAAUUGUAAAGCCUGUAUAAAUGUGUAAUAGAGAAGUAACCCCCACACCACCCCUGCCUUGUACCAGAAAGAAGGAAAUAAAAGUAUUCCGCGUUUCCUUUUCCAUUACUUACCCUAGGACUUUUAAUCUCGGGACGAGAUUCUUUUAUGGGGGGAAGGAUGUAACACUCCUGGUGUUACUGUAACUAAAACUUGAGCAUGGCAUCAUAAGCAUUGGCAUUGCAUAUGUUUGAUACACCUAGAAUGCAUUCACUAGGCAAAAAUUUCAAGCAAGUUGUAUUGUUUUAAUGUUUUUGCAAAUAGAACCCUGGAUAGGGAACUUAACCCUAAAUAGGGAUUAAAGGGGUAAGACCUAACCCAAGAUGGGAAAACCUAAAGGCUUUAGGGAGAGGGUCAUAAAAUAUCCCCAAAAGCAAAGUUGAGUCACAUUUAUACCCCUGGGAUACCAAAACUCUCAAUUAGAACCCUGGAAAACCCUAAAACUAAAACCUAGGGGCCUAUGUGCAAAAUUAGUCCACUUUUGGACUAAAGUGCAAAAAACCAAGUUAAAUAGGUAUCUUUAGUCAUUUGGGUCACAUAUAUGUGAAUUUGCAAGCCAAACCCUAAGUUUUGGACCAAAAUGCAAAAAUCACUUCUUAAAGCACUAUAGAGGCUAAGUCUGAAAUUAAGUGUUGAGGGCUCAACUUUGGAGCAUUGGAUCUUCCAAAUUAUUGAGAAUUUUCCCUAGGUCACCACAUCAAUAUUGUAGAUCUAUAGAAGGAGAGUAACUUUGUUAUAGAACUCAUGCCUUGGUACCAUAAAGGAUUCUGAAAUAAAUGAGCCCGAAGUUGCUCUGUCAGGCUGGUAUAAAGAAACUGAAGACUGAACUUGAAGACAGAAGUGGUCACAGUGAGAUGGGGCCGAUUUGAGCACGCCAUAACUUUAAAUACGUUCGAAUUUGAUCCAAGAAUCCUAUAGUAAGGUUGGAGACUGAUGAUUAGUGAACAAAUUUUAUUAAGAAGGAUCGCUCUGUUCCUAACAAGAAUCUAGAGAUAAUUGGGUUGGAACAUGGCCGGUUCAGGCGACUGAAGCAGAUGCGCCAUGGUACAGUAGACCAUUGGGGAUAAGACCGCCAGCUGGCUCACUCGUCGCCGGUGAGUCACCGCCGGUGGUCGAUCUCGUGCUACGAUUCGUGCAUCGGGUACAACGGAUAAACUUGACCGGGUAAAAAUCCGAGGCAGGAUUGAGCUACGGCUAAGACCGCCGCACUUCACCCCAGCUCAUCGUCGAGUAGAUGGCCUCGUCACCGAUAAGCCACCGUCGUCGUGCACCACGUGUCUUAACACGAGACACCUUCGUGGUGACUCGUUAGCUGCAUGUCCGGCGAUCACCGGAAUCACUGCCACGGUGAGAGCUACUUUUUCCCCCGCACUGAGCUCUCCGGCCGCUAACACCCCUCGGCCGAAUUCGUCACCGACCCUCGAUGCGCCUAUAAAUUGCGGAUGCCGCGGGCUCCGUAGGGCAGUAAGCUAACCAGCCGCCUCGAAUCAGCCUCAAUCAUUCACUGAGAGCCGCGAAUUUGGAGUUCUCCCCAAAUCGUUUUCCGCCGCCGUGAAACCCACCCCCACCGUGGCCAGACCACUCUGGUAAAGUUCCGCGCCUCUCAAGUAUUGUUUUAGCAUCUGUGUAGGCACGUAAAGCUCACCGUAGCAUCCGUUUGCCCAAUCCGGGCCUGCAUAAUUGGGAACAUGGGAUCGACGCCGCGGUUCCCGCCGUGAACGUGGAUAGGCCGUUCGCAGGGCGCUCUUGUCAAAUUGAUGCGUGUUCCUAGGUCGCCUUGAGUAGGUUAUGCUCCCGCUGUCGCUCGACUGAGCAUUCGCCGCCGGCCGGGGCCAGUCCGUGCGGCAUCGGUGAUGAACGGUAAACGCGCCUUGGUCGGGGACUUUAAACUCAGAAUAGAUAGAAGGGGAAGGACUUUUAUGCAAACUGUCAGCGACUGUGUUAAACAGUGGAAGACCGGAUCCCAGUUUGUGAAAACCCCGUGGACUUUUGUGCAAAACCGCCAGCGCACGCGGGCGCGCGCGUGGACGUGCUUCUGCUGGUAGUGGGCCGACCUCGACUGGAUUCGGCCCAAUACUAUUCACGAGUUUUCUUUUUCUUUUUCCCUCCCGAGUUAAAACAAUUAUAGAAAAUAGUAGAAAAAUGCUAAAAUCGUGAAACUAAUUUCCCUAGGCUUGUUAUUUUCCCUAGAAUUUAGUAAAAAUAGUUUUGUGAUUUUUAGUGGAAAUAAGAAAUUUUAAGGUAUUUAAAGUGGUUAAAAGUAUCAGUUAUGGAUUUUUAGAAAAAUAAUUGGUAAGUCUAAAAAUGCCCAAACUUUUUAACGGAACUUAAAGAAAUAUUUAGAAGCCUUGGGUAGGGAUUGAGUUGAUUUGGACCAUGUUUGAUAACUAGAACCCAAAACCACCCCCUGCCCUAUGAACUCCUUUACCGACUCCGGAAACCCUAAGUUCUCGGAGUACCGUGAAGGAAAGUUGUACUCAAGACAUAGAUAAUAAGUUUAUAUUAUCUUUGCAUCCUCAUGAGCAUCCCAUGGCAUCCAUUCUUAUACAUAUGUAUGGUUAUGAUUAGAACGUGAAGAAGAAAUCGAAGUAACUGAAGAGAAGACACCACCACCUUCGGAAUCUCAGGCCGGAAAUUGUUUCUACUUUGAUAUCUGCGGAUCCGAGCCUGACUCACCUACUAACGAAGGCAAGCCCCGGUGCAUGCAACCCCUUUCCUUGUGUUUUUAAAUACUUUUCGCACACUUUAAGUCUAGUGAAAUGUGCAUUAAGUUUAUAGGAAUUGCUUGAAACCCUUUGAUGCAUUGCUUUCCUUGAUAUCCAUACCUUUAUAGAUACUUCUGUGAAGUAUCAAAAUUAUGAUUUACAAAAAUGCUUAGCCUUGCUUAGAUCUUGUGGAUAGAGGUUGUCCUCAGUCUAACCCGGGAGAGGAUGGCUUCUACCUGCAAGAAUAUUUUCAUUUGGAGCAAUAGUGGGAUCUUACUGCAAAGUUCCCUGUGAUGCUCUUUCAUCCUAAGGAACAGACACAAUCCUAAGGAUGGAAAUACUUAAAUUGAGACUUGGGUUAGGAACAGGUGAUGUUCUACCCAGGUUGAUUAAGGAUUGAUGCGUAUGUAGGCGUGCUGACCGAGGACCCUUUAACUGGUCACAUGCCUCGUCAUGGGUAAGCCUUGCCUCGGGCAGACUAAGGCCAGAAUAAGAUAACACGAAAUGGGCGUGGAGCGGUGGCGAGAGUAGCGUGUACCCUCCGUGGCAAGAGGCUGGACGGUGGUGUAUCUGUGCUCUCGGUUUGCGUGAACCUGAUCUGGUCUUAAGAACCCCGGUGGCGGGUUGACAUAUGCAAGGGUUAAGUGCUACAUAUGUCGUGUGAUUGGAGAUCCUCAGCUAAGUAUAAUCAAUUCGGAUCGCCGUACCUUCGCGGUUAUGAAGACUUGGUCACUUUUCUACAACCUAAGUCAGGAUGUGAACACUAUGGAUAAAAAUGAUAUUGUAUUGAUGAGAUGUUGAAAUUAGACUAGAUGCAAAUAGAGUCUAUUAAUACUCAAAAUGGCGUUAAAAGAUUGAAAGUAAGGACUCACUUUAGUAAGCUACUUCUGCAAAAGUAUAAGUUGAUUUUUGCUAAAGCCUCUCCUUGAUUCCUAUUUAUCCAGCAUACCCUUGAGAGUCUUUUCCUUAGUCGGGUAAGACUUGCUGAGUAAUUCCAUACUCAGGGUUUAUCCCUUUGUUGUUUUUAGGUGAGGAAGCGACAAAUUUUUGUUGCUUUUGCUCCAAGGUGGUACCAAAUGAAGAAAAACAAGACUGAAGUGCGGGAGGACUUGGUCCUCCACAUAGGAUCUUUUGCUUAAAACUUAUCGGGAGGAGUUUGUGCCUCCCUUGGUUUGUAUAAUAUUACUACUCAGCACUCGUUUAUAGCUCUGGUCUAUAAUAAGUAACUUGAUCUUACUUUCUAAUAAAAUGUAAGUUUAUGUCAAAGCUUCCGCAUUUCUUUAUCUCCGAUGUUCUAUAAUGUCUGCAAGACGGGUGAAACGUUCCUGGUAAGGUAAGGAAAGAUACCGAACUUGUCAAGUGACUUAGGAACAUCUACAGGGUGUCUGAUGUCUGUUAGACAAGGACAACUGUAGGUGGGCCUAAUUACUUGGGAGGUUCCGUCACAUGUUCAAAAGGGGGAAAAAGUAGUAUUUUCAAAUUUGAUAUCUUAAAACCCUCUUGAACACUAAGAGGAGAAUUUAUUGAGGGGGAGUUUUGUUUUGUCAAAGGACAAGCAUUUGGAACAAGGGGAGAAAAUUUCAAAACUUGAAAAUGCUUCGCAAAAUCUUAUUCAUUUACCUUUGACUAUUUUGCAAAAAGGACUUUGAAAAGGAUUUACAAAAAUAAUUUGCA